AACUCCCUGGCUGCCGUGAAAAGACAAGGCACUGGGCAGUGAUGAGGGUCCUUCUCCAUCUCCCAGCCCUCCUGGCUUCCCUCAUCUUGCUUCAGGCUGCAGCAUCUACCACAAGAGAUCCCAGCCUGGACUUGACUUCACUGUCUCUAGAGGUGGGCUGUGGUGCUCCUGCUCCCGUGGUGAGAUGUGACCCGUGCAGCCCUUACCGCACCAUUACGGGAGACUGCAAUAACAGGAGGAAGCCUGCGCUGGGCGCCGCCAACAGGGCUCUGGCGCGCUGGCUGCCCGCGGAGUACGAGGACGGGCUCUCCCUGCCCUUCGGCUGGACGCCGGGGAAGACGCGCAACGGCUUCCCUCUCCCUCUGGCCCGGGAGGUAUCUAACAAGAUUGUUGGCUAUCUGAAUGAGGAGGGUGUUCUGGACCAAAACAGGUCCCUGCUCUUCAUGCAGUGGGGUCAGAUUGUGGAUCACGACCUGGACUUUGCCCCUGACACCGAGCUGGGGAGUAGCGAGUACUCCAAAGCCCAGUGUGAUGAGUACUGUAUCCAGGGAGACAACUGCUUCCCCAUCAUGGUACGGCCCUGCAGCUGGGCAUCUCUGCCUAGCCCCUUGCCCACCCUGAUGUAGCAGACAUUCCCAGCUCAUCAGCUAGGAUCUCUGGAUAGAUCUUGGAUACUGAUUUGGUAGUUUCCCAUGCCUCACGAGUCCAUUCGUUCACUCAUCCGUUUAUUCAGUAAAUAGACAUUGACCACCCCAUACCAGGCAGUGCACUAAGCGCUGAGGAUUCCAAAGUGAACAGGACACUGCUCCUGCUCUCAAGAACAAAGGGCCAGUGUGGGAAUUGGACAAGUAAACUACUGAUAGCAGAAUGGGAACACUGGAGAAGGUUGUCUACAUUCCCGGCCCAGCAGCAUUGGUAAAACCUGCUUAUUAGAAAUGUAAAAUCUCAGUUGGGCGAGGCGGCUCAUGCCUAUAAUCCCAGCACUUGGGGAGGCUGAGGUGGACAGAUCACCUGAGGUCAAGAGUUUGAGACCAGCCUGGCCAACAUGGUGAAACCCUGUCUCUACUAAAAAUACAAAAAUUAGCCUGGCGAGGUGGCACAUGCAUGUGGUCCCAGCUACUCAGGAGGUUGAGGCAGGAGAACCGCUUGAACCUGGGAGGCGGAGGUUGCAGUGAGCCGAGAUCACGCCACUGCACUCCAGCCUGGGCGACAGAGCGAGACUCCAACUCAAAAAAGAAAAAAG
RNAcentral lists this small RNA (1243 nucleotides) under Pan troglodytes (chimpanzee). RNAcentral describes it as "retained intron". Lineage: Eukaryota; Metazoa; Chordata; Mammalia; Primates; Hominidae. The record is from RNAcentral.